This 497-nucleotide ribosomal RNA is filed under the name uncultured bacterium. RNAcentral describes it as "partial 16S ribosomal RNA". It matches the Rfam family "Bacterial small subunit ribosomal RNA", at positions 28 to 507 of the family's 1533-position model. The record is from RNAcentral.
GAUGAACGCUGGCGGCGUGCCUAAUACAUGCAAGUCGAGCGAACAGACGAGGAGCUUGCUCCUUUGACGUUAGCGGCGGACGGGUGAGUAACACGUGGGUAACCUACCUAUAAGACUGGGAUAACUUCGGGAAACCGGAGCUAAUACCGGAUAAUAUUUCGAACCGCAUGGUUCGAUAGUGAAAGAUGGCUUUGCUAUCACUUAUAGAUGGACCUGCGCCGUAUUAGCUAGUUGGUAAGGUAACGGCUUACCAAGGCAACGAUACGUAGCCGACCUGAGAGGGUGAUCGGCCACACUGGAACUGAGACACGGUCCAGACUCCUACGGGAGGCAGCAGUAGGGAAUCUUCCGCAAUGGGCGAAAGCCUGACGGAGCAACGCCGCGUGAGUGAUGAAGGUCUUCGGAUCGUAAAACUCUGUUAUUAGGGAAGAACAAACGUGUAAGUAACUGUGCACGUCUUGACGGUACCUAAUCAGAAAGCCACGGCUAACUACUUG